GUCAUCUUUGAGGGUUUGCCAGGAAGUAUCAUGGAAGCGGUCUGCUCUGUGACCCUGAGAUAGGACUGCCUAUGUCUCUCGCUCGGCCAAGGCUUCGGACUGGCAUUUGGAAGAAGCCUCUCUCCAUCCUGAGAGACGCUUUUCCAAACAUAAGAUCGCGGGAAGCCCUUAUCAGGAACUCAUUUGACAUUUUCAGGGAAGGUGCUCAAAGAGGUCCAAGAAGGUGCUUAUGGCUCUAUGCUCCCCCGGCCCGCUUCCCCAGUGUUAAAAUCUGACCUCACCAUAGCGCUAUGAUCGAGAAGAAAAAAGUCCCUCCGGAACAAUGGGAUCUGACUCAACUGCAGACUGGAUGGCAAAUUCAUCCCUGAUUCGCUUGCAGUUUAGCUGUUUUCGCCUUCCAGCACUUCGUCUUCUGGCUUCCACUCUUUAUACCGGGAAGGAGCUCCCUGGGGAGUCGGGGUAAUUGUAGGGGUCUUCGGAGCCAGGGGAUCUCCUCGGAAGGUGCUCUCUCUUUCUCUAUUUUUUCUUUUCACUCUGUCUUCAAGUUUCCCAUACCUCAGCAGAACUGACUGGGCAGCAGAGGAAGCGGGAACGGUCCGUCCAUCUCCUGGCCUCACGAGACUUGGCUCCCCG
RNAcentral lists this long non-coding RNA (633 nucleotides) under Equus asinus (donkey). RNAcentral describes it as "lncRNA (ENSEASG00005031741.1)". The record is from RNAcentral. Lineage: Eukaryota; Metazoa; Chordata; Mammalia; Perissodactyla; Equidae.